UGCCAGCCGCCGCGGUAAUACGAAGGGUGCUAGCGUUGUCCGGAAUUAUUGGGCGUAAAGGGUGCGUAGGCGGACUAGUAAGUCUGGUGUGAAAGUUUGCGGCUUAACCGUAAAAGGCCACUGGAUACUGUUAGUCUUGAAUCACAGAGGGGGUAGUGGAAUUCCAGGUGUAGCGGUGAAAUGCGUAGAGAUCUGGAGGAACAUCAGUGGCGAAGGCGGCUCCCUGGCCAAAGACUGACGCUCAUGUGCGAAAGUGUGGGUAGCGAACAGGAUUAGAUA
RNAcentral lists this ribosomal RNA (279 nucleotides) under uncultured bacterium. RNAcentral describes it as "partial 16S ribosomal RNA". It matches the Rfam family "Bacterial small subunit ribosomal RNA", at positions 506 to 784 of the family's 1533-position model. The record is from RNAcentral.